Molecule: long non-coding RNA, 256 nt
Filed under: Malus domestica (apple)
Lineage: Eukaryota; Viridiplantae; Streptophyta; Magnoliopsida; Rosales; Rosaceae
Description: long non-coding RNA (MDOM_LNC013223)
Source: RNAcentral
UCAUACAACUUAUGUUAAUGGGCUUGACGUUCGAAGCCCAUUGGGCCUUAAGGUCCAAAAAAACUAUCCCGAGGUCUUUAACGAAUUUAUUCGUUUGAUUAAUUAACAUAUUAAUUAAUCAUUGCCAUAAAUAAAUGAUUAAACCAUUUAAUCAUUCUUACUCAUCUCCAUUGUUUCUUCAAUCUCCUCCUUAUACGGUGUGCGAUCCAUUAGGUUCCUUUUAGCGAGGCAGUGGGCGAUUAAAACCAUUUUACAU